Molecule: long non-coding RNA, 1625 nt
Organism: Patella vulgata (common limpet)
Lineage: Eukaryota; Metazoa; Mollusca; Gastropoda; Patellidae
Exons: 3
Source: RefSeq, a predicted model, not a curated record
UUAGUACAGCUUGUUAUGGUUCACUAGGUUUACAGUGUACUGAACAUAGACUAAUCUGUACAGCAUCAACAGUUAUAUCAAUAACUAAUAUAACGUUUGGAUAUAGAUAAUUCUGUUCACCUGUAGGUAUAUGUAUUAAUACAAUAUGUUGCAGAGAACUGACUGGAGAUUGUUUUACACCUUACAACCAAACUCUUCUAUCACAGCUACAACAAACAUGUAAUGGGCGAUCAACUUGUACUCUUAAUGGAAAUAAUGGCUUGAAUGAAAGAUCCCCACAUUGUGAAUUUACUAUUACAGCUAUAUUUCAUUCAUACAGCAAGAUAGAAUAUCAGUGUAGUACCAUAGUUACAACAGAAUCAACAGCCGAUAAUGAAACUCUGGGUGGUGCAGAAACAGCGUUUGUUGAUGGAGGUAAAGAAGUAGCUAUUGUUGGUGGAUGUGAAGAUCUAGCUAUUGUUGGUGGAAUAUUAGGAACAGUUAUAGUCAUCUGUAUUGCCAUCAUUGUUAUACUAGUAGUAUACUUCAACAGGAGGUUAUCGAAGGUGAAUUCAGCGUCGCACCAAAAUGAUCGCCAAUAUGACUCAGCACCAACCAGAUCUAGAGAUGAAUCCCCGACUGUGUACAAUUCAUUAAAUACAGGACAACAUUCAACUAUAGACGGUGGAAAUUCACAAAUCAACCAGAACAACCAGCAUUACGAACACCCGUAUGAUGCGGCACCAAGGGAACAACAGAUCAACCAACUGUUGUUUAUGAUUCUUUAAAUACACGAGAACAAACUGGUUAUUAUAAUAUGGGUAACAUCAACACAGUUAGCAGUUAAAUACAAUUAUUCAGUGGGGGUUGGUGUGGUAGUGUAUUCCCAAUUAUGUUUAUAAUGAUGAUUCUAUAACUACUGAACACAGGCAAUGGAUGAACACAAAUACGAUAUUGCAGCUUCAAUAUACAUAAUUAUAGCUUCAAUAAAGAUGUUGAAUAAUGACGCUAUGGUUAGGCUGUCGUCGAUUACUGGUUAACACCAACCCCUCCGCCCAUAUGAAUACAAUAUCGUAAUAAUGUCUUGCACCAAUGACCACACGAACACCCCGUGCAACAUUCUCGGCCAACACCGACAGCAAACCCCGCCCUCCGGGUUGGAUUAGUGCUUUACUCACCGAGCUACCGUGGCCCUCCAGCUACAAACAUAUAGUUUCUUUGUUGAAGAUAUACGAUGUUUUAUUAUACCGUUUGUGUAUGACAGGAGUAGAUUAAUUUCAUACUAACUUUGUGUUUAUUUUUUUCAAGGAAAACUAAUAUGGAAUAAAUAAAAAAUAUUUUGAUAUCGAUACCCGUUAUCUGUGUAAAUAAUAUUUAUACUAAUACAAUGUUUUGAGAUUAAUAAUACAGUGUUUAUUUAUUUACAUGGUUCUAAAUUCAUUAAAAUCAUUUUACGCUAAUUCAGUUGUGAUCAUUUGGAUAUGCUUGUAAAAGGGAACGUAAUAAUUUAUGCGUACUACAAGUACUACCACCUUCCACUGUUGAUGUACAGUGGUCAGUCAGGGGUCCCAUGCACGCUUAAUGUAAGCCUGAUUGUUAAUCUGUAACUAUUGUAUUAUAUAAUAUUACUAUUAGAUUAUAUAAUA